RNAcentral lists this unclassified non-coding RNA (231 nucleotides) under plant metagenome. Its description in RNAcentral is "partial contains small subunit ribosomal RNA and internal transcribed spacer 1". The stretch from base 1 to 46 matches the Rfam family "Eukaryotic small subunit ribosomal RNA", at positions 1786 to 1831 of the family's 1831-position model. The record is from RNAcentral.
AAGUCGUAACAAGGUUUCCGUAGGUGAACCUGCGGAAGGAUCAUUAAUGAGUUAGGGUCUCCGGGCCCGACCUCCAAACCCUUUGUCGUCACAAAACCAAUUCGUUGCUUUGGCGGGACCGCCCCCCAGGGGGCUGUCGGUCUUCGGCCCGGCACGCGCCCGCCAGAGGUGAACCAAACUCUUGUUAUCAAAAACCGUACGUCUGAGUAAAAACGAUUUAAUCAAUCAAAA